UCAGUUAUCAUACGGCUGUAAUUAGCACAAGAGCUGCCUGCUACCGAAUGCUGCCCCCUUUUGCUUUGCCAGCCUUUGGUCCUACAAUUCUUAUGCAAGUGUGCCGCCCCAUAUACUUCAAUGGGACAGCUCAUUGAUGCUCUGAAAUGUUCCUGCAAUAUCUAUGCUACUUAUGGGUGAACAUCAAAAAGUUCUGAGGCUCAAAAUAUUGGAGAGGGAGGCAACAUGGAAGCAGGUUUUGGGGAUGAGGAAGAUGAUGAUGAUGAUGAGGUUGUAGAUAGCUCACUGCAAGCAAGCGGAGAAACCGGUUUUCCCGACAGCCAGGAACUGUUUCUCAUGCUGGACCUGGAGCCAGUACCCCCCGAACCCACCCAUGGCUGCCUCCCGGACCGGCCAGGCGGAGAAGGGACCUCUGCUGCAUGCGUUUCAAGGAUCACAGGAUCUUCUCCUUCCCAGAGGCUAGCGAAGAUUAGAAGGCGAAAAAAACACAGUCGCGAUGAAAUGUUCUCUGACCUCAUGCUGUCCUCCCACACUGACAGAGAACAGACAAAUGCGUGGAGGCAGACAAUGUCAGAGUGCAGGAAAGCACAAAAUGAAUGUGAGGAAAGGUGGUGGGCUGAAGAGAGGGCUGAAGCUGAAAGGUGGCGGCAGUGUGAUGAGAGGAGGCAGGAUUCAAUGCUGAGGCUGCUGGAGGAUCAAACUAAUAUGCUCCAGCGUAUAGUUGAAAGGCAGCUGGAGCACAGACCAUCACUACAGCCCCUCUGUAACCAACCACCCUCCUCCCCAAGUACCAUAACCUCCUCACCCAGACGCCCAAGAACGUGGUCGGGGGGGGGGGCCUCCAGCCACCCAGCCACUCCACCCCAGAGGAUUUCCCAAGCAACAGAAGUCUGGCAUUCAAUAAGUUUUAAAGUUUAAACUUUUAAAGUGCUGUGUGGCCUUGUCCUUCCCUCCUCCACCACCCCACCUGCUGCUUCCCUCCUCCACCACCCCUCCGAGGCUACCUUGGCAGUUAUCCCCCUAUUUGUGUGAUGAAUUAAUAAA
Molecule: long non-coding RNA, 1044 nt
Organism: Caretta caretta (loggerhead turtle)
Lineage: Eukaryota; Metazoa; Chordata; Testudines; Cheloniidae
Source: RefSeq, a predicted model, not a curated record